This 1356-nucleotide ribosomal RNA is filed under the name uncultured bacterium. RNAcentral's name for it is "bacterial SSU rRNA". It matches the Rfam family "Bacterial small subunit ribosomal RNA", at positions 27 to 1393 of the family's 1533-position model. RNAcentral also lists the same sequence under 1 other name. The record is from RNAcentral.
GGAUGAACGCCGGCGGUGUGCCUAAUACAUGCAAGUCGAGCGCAGUGCUUGCACUGAGCGGCGGACGGGUGAGUAACACGUGGGCAACCUGCCCCAAAGCGGGGGAUAACAUUUGGAAACAGGUGCUAAUACCGCAUAACUUGGAACCACAUGGUUUCCAAUAAAAGAUGUUCGUAUCACUUUGGGAUGGGCCCGCGGUGCAUUAGCUAGUUGGUAAGGUAACGGCUUACCAAGGCGAUGAUGCAUAGCCGAGUUGAGAGACUGAUCGGCCACAAUGGAACUGAGACACGGUCCAUACUCCUACGGGAGGCAGCAGUAGGGAAUCUUCCACAAUGGGCGCAAGCCUGAUGGAGCAACACCGCGUGAGUGAAGAAGGGUUUCGGCUCGUAAAACUCUGUUGUUGGAGAAGAACGUGCGUAAGGUAAUUUACGCAGUGACGGUAUCCAACCAGAAAGUCACGGCUAACUACGUGCUAGCAGCCGCGGUAAUACGUAGGUGGCAAGCGUUAUCCGGAUUUAUUGGGCGUAAAGCGAGCGCAGGCGGUUGCUUAGGUCUGAUGUGAAAGCCUUCGGCUUAACCGAAGAAGUGCAUCGGAAACCGGGCGACUUGAGUGCAGAAGAGGACAGUGGAACUCCAUGUGUAGCGGUGGAAUGCGUAGAUAUAUGGAAGAACACCAGUGGCGAAGGCGGCUCUCUGGUCUGCAACUGACGCUGAGGCUCGAAAGCAUGGGUAGCGAACAGGAUUAGAUACCCUGGUAGUCCAUGCCGUAAACGAUGAGUGCUAGGUGUUGGAGGGUUUCCCCCUUCAGUGCCGGAGCUAACGCAUUAAGCACUCCGCCUGGGGAGUACGAUCGCAAGGUUGAAACUCAAAGGAAUUGACGGGGGCCCGCACAAGCGGUGGAGCAUGUGGUUUAAUUCGAAGCUACGCGAAGAACCUUACCAGGUCUUGACAUCUUGCGCUAACCUAAGAGAUUAGGUGUUCCCUUCGGGGACGCUGAGACAGGUGGUGCAUGGCUGUCGUCAGCUCGUGUCGUGAGAUGUUGGGUUAAGUCCCGCAACGAGCGCAACCCUUGUCAUUAGUUGCCAUCAUUAAGUUGGGCACUCUAAUGAGACUGCCGGUGACAAACCGGAGGAAGGUGGGGAUGACGUCAAGUCAUCAUGCCCCUUAUGACCUGGGCUACACACGUGCUACAAUGGACGGUACAACGAGAAGCGAACCUGCGAAGGCAAGCGGAUCUCUGAAAGCCGUUCUCAGUUCGGACUGUAGGCUGCAACUCGCCUACACGAAGCUGGAAUCGCUAGUAAUCGCGGAUCAGCACGCCGCGGUGAAUACGUUCCCGGGCCUUGUACACACCGC